AUCCAGCUGACGAGUCCCAAACAGGACGA
This is a non-coding RNA of Schistosoma haematobium, 29 nucleotides long. The record is from Rfam. Lineage: Eukaryota; Metazoa; Platyhelminthes; Trematoda; Strigeidida; Schistosomatidae.